Long non-coding RNA from Perognathus longimembris pacificus (Pacific pocket mouse), 4653 nucleotides. RefSeq lists it as uncharacterized. Lineage: Eukaryota; Metazoa; Chordata; Mammalia; Rodentia; Heteromyidae. The transcript is spliced from 3 exons. The record is from RefSeq and is a predicted model, not a curated record.
CACGAAAAACAAGAGACAUAUUUGAUGCUUUUAUAUUCUUCUUCUUAUAAUUAUAUUCUUACUCUGAGCAGCAUUCAAGUUGUGAAAUAAUCACUUAUCCCUCAGUUACUAGGAGAGCCAUGCUCUAUUGACACAGUGAGAACACACAGAUGGGUGUUUCCUCAUAAAGACAAUUAUCUUGUGACAACAAAAAUACUAGGAAAGCCAUGUGCACAUGAGAUGGGAGAAAAUUUUAGAAAUUCUUUUUGGUGUGCAACCUCUGCUUUAGGGCAAGGUUGAGGGCCAGGUAAACAUCCUAUGUAUACACUCCAUGCAUCUGAACAGCAUUGAAAUAGUCUCGGAUUUUGACCCAGUGUCUGGUGGCAAGAAACAGACCUUGGCACAACAUUGAGCUGCAUGUAAGCCUCAUGCUCCCAGGGCUUAGACAGCACCAUGAAGGUGCCCCGCCCCUCCUCUCCUGUGGUACUCUCCUUGGAAAGACAAGUUCUUCAAGGUGGGUCUCCAUCAACAUGUUCCUUUCCAGGGAUACAUUCAUGGCCCACCGGGCUUCUUGCUGUUGAUUUUUUUCCUCCUUGUAGGUUGACAAUCUUAGGAAUUUUUAAGAUUUAAAUUUAGAACAACUGCAGACUCACACUUAAGGAACCUGCUCCAGGAGGUGUUAUAGCAAGUAUUAGAGCCUUCCAGCACCCCAGAAAGAGGGAACCAAGAGGAGCUUCAGAAGUCCUCAGAAGAAAAUAUUCUUCCUUUCAUCAAAGAAGAAAAAUAGCUCUAGAAAAGAGAGAUGUUAAUGCCGGUGCAAGGACAGUCAAAGGCACGCAGGGACUUCCGCCCAGACGUUCUUGCCUCCCAGUCUAGAACACAGUGUACUUUUUAUUGCUGCUUCAUAUUGCUAUUUAUGAAUGAGGUUAAGUUGGUUAAUGCCCUUCUCUGUUUCUUACUUUUCCCAUGAGAAAAAUGAAGGUCCACAUCUUACAAUAUGUGGUCUGUGCAACUCAAAACUUAGAAUGUUAAGAGGUGUUAGAAGCUACAAAAGAUUUCAUGAGCAAGAUGAUUGGGGAACACCUGGUUUAAGAAAACUAAACAGAUGUCUUUGCAGUGAGAUAUCUCAAAGCCUUUAAUACGGCAGUGAACAUCAUGGAGUUCCAAGUAUUGCUGGGUUUCCCAUAUUUUACAAAUUUAUUAGGUUACAAGCUGAUAUCUGCUGGACCAAUUCUCCCUAGACCUCACAUCCAAUUCCAAUUCUUCUUUAAAGACAGUCUCCCUGGCCAAGAGGCACUGAUUUCAGGGUAAAUGGAUCUUUGUAAAGAUGUUUCCUGGAAUUAUUUAUUUUAUUUUAUUUUUUGCCCUGGGAGACUAGUUAAGUAGGAUGAGAGGCAGCCCUGCUUUGACAUCAUGUAAGAAAAAGACUGGGGAAGUCAGUUUUGUGAAACAUCAGCUCUUUUUAGUGGUAUUAAUCCUACCUCCACUCCUGAAGAAGGAAGGAAAAAAGAAAGGUGGAAAGGGGGAAGGGAAAGAGGAAGGGAGUGAAGGAAGAAGGGAGGGUGGCAGGAAGGGAAGAAGGAAGGAAGGAAAGAAGAAAGAAUAGAAGGAAGGAAGGAAAAGGAAGGAAAGAAAUACUUGGUUACUUAAUAAUCAAGAAAAACCAAGUUUAGAAAUACAGGCUUAAAAGAAAUAGAAGAAUAACCAUAUGAACAGUGGUUUACUUUUCCAGAGAAGCAAGACAAGAGGAAACUAGGAGAACAAGCAUUAUUGUUUUUAUCAGUUUAAACUUCAUUUCAUUUCUUAAGAAACAGUCAGGAUGGUCUCUGAUUGUGCUUAAAUCUCAGGUAGCUUAAGAGGCCAUGGGUUUGCAGAGGGUGAUCAAUAUUAUGUGCUUCCUCUAAGACUGCUCAAGGCAUCCCUGGGCAAGAAGUUGAUAUGUGCUCAGCAACCACUGUGUUCAUAUGUGCAUGUCCAUGCGUGCACAUCCUAGUUACAGCACAGGAAAAAGACACUGUGUCCAGAGUUCACUUUGCUUCCACCUCAUUGGUAUGGUAUUCCUGGCCUUGGAUCCAGGCCAUAAAGAUCAACCUUUGAUAAGCUGCUUUUGGCAACUUAGAUUGUGUCUGUUAUUUAUCGGGCCAUGCAGGAUGGAUCAUGUAACAAGGUGUAUUUUUUUCCUUGCUGCCUGGGCAUGUGGGAGGACAUGCAUGUAGACACAUAGGCUGAUGGAGAAAAGAGAUGAACAAGUAUCUCUCAAGUGCUGAUGCUGGUUUUUUUUUUUUUUUUCUUCUGUUGUUGUUAUCGUCUCUCCUCACCAUUUCUUCAUGACCACAGAGGCUGCCUAUGUGUCAGCAGAGAGCUUUCUGGGAUGGUUAUUAUGUGGAGGCAUCAUGAUAAUGAACAGUGAUGACAGAGAGAAGUACACAUAGGCUCUGUAAGUCUCAUUCCCACUUUCCAUAGUCAAAGCAACACUCCCCCAAGGCAGGUGCUUCAUCACACUCACGACCUUGCAACAUUUAUAAGCUAUUCUUCACUUCUACUUCAUUCAUUGCCCCUGUCUUCAGAGUUAAAUGUAAUUGGACCCAUUUUACAAGAAAGAAGCUGAAGCACAGAGAUCAAGUGAUACUCUGGCCUCCUCAGAAAGAAAUUGCAGCAAAGCUGGUGUAUGCCUCCAAUUUGAAAAUUACAGAUUGUUGUAGGAGAGAAAAAAUCAAGGAUUAAACUCCUUCAGCACCCAUCACACUCAAGGCUUGGGCUGCUAUCUGCACAUCUCUUUCUUUGCAAAAUAAAGGCAGUGGUUGGGAAGUGCAGGUUCUGGGAUGUGGAGCUGUAUAUUGGGUUUCAAGGAAGUGAUGUCUUCUUUUAGCAAGAAAAUAUGCAAGGCUCACAGUCCCUUUGCUAGACAAAUGAAGGAAAACUCAGGUAAUGAAUGAAGCUUGUCUUCUAAGAGCUGGCAAUUUUUGCAGAAAGACCAAUGUAUGGAGACUAAUCAAAACUAAGAUGGCAUAUGCUAUGAAGACAUUUUUGUAGAGAUGUUGGGAGUGAAAAAAUUGCAUCUUUGAAUCCUCAGGACAUGACAGUGCAUAUACAGAAAUGAACAAAAGUUACAAUUUCCAAGUUUUAUAACCAUAUGAGUUCGUUCUCCAUCUGUUCCCAGCCUUCCAUGACAUGCCAGUGUAUGAUCAAGUAGCCAGUGAGUCCUGCAGCCAAUUGUGGCUUUGAGCUCACAAUGAAUAAGGAUGACUGAAUGGGAAUGGGUAGGGUAUUAAGUGAAAGUUCCAUGGACAAUGUGAACCUGGGUGAAGACUCAAAGGACAGAGAUUACAAGCGUCAUGACAAGAUGUUGAGUUGUUGGUAAUAUCUAGCUUUGGAGGAAAAUUGAUGAAGAGGACCAUGAGAUAUUGAUUUCUGUAUAGAACUGGCUGUUGUAACAGUCAUACAGUUGAGUGGCUUAUGCUACAGAUACGUAUAUGGCCCAGUUUUAGAUGUUGGGAAGUUGAAAACCUAGGUGUCAGCAGAUUGAGUUCCCUAUUGAGGUCCCUAUUCCUGGUUUGGAGAUGGUUAUUUUUGAUCUAUAUACUCUAGCAGUUGAAGUUCUGCUAUCCUCUGCUUUUUUUUUUUUUUUUUAAUGACACUAAUCCAAUUGCAAGGAAUCUACUCUCAUGGCCUCAUCAAAACCAGUUGUUUCCCAAAGUUUAGUUCUCCUAAAAUCAUCAUAUUGGUCAUUAAGGCUUCAACAUGACAAUUUUGGGAAGCACAAACAUUCAUUUCCUAAGAAUUAUAGAUUCACUUUGGAUACUGGAACUUAUAUAUCAGUGUACAGAUGUGGGGAGCAUUUUAGGGUCCGUGUAACUAGAGCUAUCAGCAUAAUUUAUUAUCAGCAUAAUUUAUUAGCAUAAAUUAGUUGAACAAAAGGUUUUCAUUGUGAUGUUCCCCUACAUGCCUAUACUGUGCUUUAAUCAAAUUCACCCCAUCUUUGUUACUCUUUCCUAACCGUUUUCCUUCCUCAUCUCUCCUUUCUAAUAGUUUUAGUGGGAUUCAUUAUGCUAUUUGUAUACAUGUACAUAAUAUGACAUGAGAUUUGCAUGGAUGUGGGUAUGGACCUAGGAAAUUGUAACAAACAUAAUUUUUCUGAAUUUCACAUCCUGGGUUUAUUCAGAUUUUACCAUAUUCUUCUCUGUGAGGUUAGACUGGAAGAGAAGAUAUGAUCCCUGACCUGAGGAGACCUAGCUAGCAUACCAUAAGUGCAGAGUUAUGAAAGCUCCUUAAAGUAACACUAGAUACGUUUAUAAGUUAAUGUUGUACGUAAAACCUAGAUAAAUGUGUGUUAGUUGGAUUGGACAAGGUGUCCUGGGGCAAGUGGGAUUUGCAGUGGGCCUUGAUGAUGGCCAACAGGAGUAUGGCUAUGGUAAUGGUGAAACUAGUGGGGAAAGAAUGGGAAUAGGCAUGAGCAAGCCUAUUUACACAUGGAUGAGUCUGGUACUUGGCAGUCAGCAAGAGAUAGAAUGAUCUGAGCAUUAUUGGAGUGUCUAUCAAUUAACAAAUGACCCUACAGGGCAUAGCAUAGCAUAGGUGUUUGUAUUAUUGCCUUGUUUGCUUCUUCCUUUUUUUAGGGUAUAGUCUGUGCAAACUGUAGACAUGAGAGGGAAAGAAGGGAGGAGGGGAAGGGAG